CACGGGGGGCCUACGGGAGGCAGCAGGCGCGCAAAUUACCCACUCCCGACUCGGGGAGGUAGUGACGAAAAAUAACAAUACAGGACUCUUUCGAGGCCCUNUNAUGGAAUGAG
RNAcentral lists this ribosomal RNA (113 nucleotides) under uncultured bacterium. RNAcentral describes it as "partial 16S ribosomal RNA". It matches the Rfam family "Eukaryotic small subunit ribosomal RNA", at positions 402 to 518 of the family's 1831-position model. The record is from RNAcentral.